This 428-nucleotide RNase P RNA is filed under the name Candidatus Bipolaricaulota bacterium. RNAcentral describes it as "RNase P RNA component class A". It matches the Rfam family "Bacterial RNase P class A". From Rfam's summary of the family: Ribonuclease P (RNase P) is a ubiquitous endoribonuclease, found in archaea, bacteria and eukarya as well as chloroplasts and mitochondria. Its best characterised activity is the generation of mature 5'-ends of tRNAs by cleaving the 5'-leader elements of precursor-tRNAs. Cellular RNase Ps are ribonucleoproteins. The record is from RNAcentral. Lineage: Bacteria; Candidatus Bipolaricaulota.
GAAGGGGAAGAUGGAACCGCGGCAUAUCUUAUGUCGAGGAAAGUCCGGACUCCGUAGGGCUGGCCGCUGGACGAGAUCAAUUUUGAUCGUAGUCCAGAGUCGGUGACGGCUGGAAAGUGCCACAGAAAAUAGACCCCCAGCACUUACUUUAAUAUCCACCUCAAAGGGGCAGAGACAAUUAAACUUAAUGCCAUAACGUCGGCAAACUUGAUGGUUGGGGGUUGAUCCUAAAGUAAGUGCUGGAAAGGGUGCAACGGCGAGGUAAGAGCUCACCGCUUCCUCCGCGAGGUAGGAAGGCACGGUAAACCCCGGCUGGAGAAAAGCCAAAUAGGGAGAAUUGGAGUUGCCCGCUCCGUUAAAAUCUCCGGGUAGGCUGCUCAGAUAGAUGGUUCCCUCGCACAGAAUCCGGCUUAACUUCCCCUUCGUCU